AAAUAAUCUAUUCUACAACGAAGGGAGUAUAAAAUUUUAAAAAUUCUUUAAACAAACCGAGGCAGAGUCGUUUCAUCAUUUUUGGGUCACAAAUCCAAAGGUACUCUGUAGUUAUUUUAAACUAAAUCAAAUCCUUAUUACUUAUGUUUUGUAUUUUUUUUAUGGAAUCAGUCUAAACGGAGAAAAGAAAGGUCAAAACUCGUCUGUGCACAAAGCUCUGUAAUUCUAAAUGUUUUGUGCUCAUAGUUUUAGUGUGAUGUUUUGUGCUCAUAGUUUUAGUGUGUUUUUUUUGUGUUUCGACUAGUUUGUUAGUUUUUGGAAGUACCAAUUUUGUUGAAGUUGUUCAACUGUGUGUGUAUGUUUGUUUUUUGCAUCUGCAUUUGCGGGUUUCAGUAUUCGUCGCUAUGAUUGCACCCUACACAUUCAUCUAAUAAUAAUCUCUCACACACCCUACACAUUCACCUAAUAAUAAUCUCUCUCACACACACCCUACACAUUCAUCUAAUUAUAACACACACACACACACAUGAGCCCUUCCACACACACGCACCCUAGACAUUCAUCUAUACAUAGAGAUUCUCUAGUCUACUAUAUUAUUAUACAUAGAGAUUUACUGGCGCACCAUUUAAGCGGAAGAUGAACAAACGUAUAGAACUAUAUAUAUCGACACACUAGGCAGACGAAUCAAGCUUCUGUCGUUUCACUGCCAUCUCUCUCUACACAGUCAAUCCUUUUUUUCCUCUGUUUCUUCCAACCUUCAUCAAAUAAACCCAACAACAAAAACAAACAAACCAUUUCAGACAUCAGUUAAUAUCAAAAAGGUUUUAUCAUAAUUAUUUUCUCAAUAAAAACUAACAAUCGUUCUACAUUUUAGGCAGAAAAAGGGCAGUAUAUCGAAACCAAAUUUUGAAACAUACUUUCUACUAUUCCCAACACAACGAUAUUUCUAAAAACAGUUUUGAAGACAACAUGUUUUCAAGUACUCCAUCUUAAACACCCACAAAACACGAGCUGGAUUUUUAAAACAUGCUCAUUUGAAAUAUUUCUCUAAACUAUAUAACAUAAUUCCAUAACACACUAGUUCUAGCUAGUUUAACAAAGAAAAUUAAAUUAAAUGAGCGGAGUCUUUCUCUUACCUUUUACGAUGAUGAUGCCUCUCUCUCUUUGUCUCUGAGCAAGUGAGAGGAAACUGGAAAAUGUUCGGAGUCGGUAACAGAACUUAGAAACAGAAAUUGUAAGAACUAGUGUGUGUAUGUGUAUGAGUUUUGAACUUUGAACGAACAAUGAGAG
RNAcentral lists this long non-coding RNA (1290 nucleotides) under Capsella grandiflora. Its description in RNAcentral is "long non-coding RNA (CGRA_LNC000500)". Lineage: Eukaryota; Viridiplantae; Streptophyta; Magnoliopsida; Brassicales; Brassicaceae. The record is from RNAcentral.